Molecule: ribosomal RNA, 254 nt
Filed under: uncultured bacterium
Lineage: Bacteria
Description: partial 16S ribosomal RNA
Rfam family: Bacterial small subunit ribosomal RNA
Source: RNAcentral
UACGAAGGGUGCAAGGCGUUACUCGGAAUUACUGGGCGUAAAGCGUGCGUAGGUGGUUCGUUAAGUCUGAUGUGAAAGCCCUGGGCUCAACCUGGGAAUGGCAUUGGAAACUGGCGACCUAGAGUGCGGUAGAGGGUAGUGGAAUUCCCGGUGUAGCAGUGAAAUGCGUAGAGAUCGGGAGGAACAUCUGUGGCGAAGGCGACUGCCUGGACCAGCACUGACACUGAGGCACGAAAGCGUGGGGAGCAAACAGG